AUUGAACGCUGGCGGCAGGCCUAACACAUGCAAGUCGAACGGUAACAGGAAGAAGCUUGCUUCUUUGCUGACGAGUGGCGGACGGGUGAGAAAUGUCUGGGAAACUGCUUGAUGGAGGGGGAUAACUACUGGAAACGGUAGCUAAUACCGCAUAACGUCGCAAGACCAAAGAGGGGGACCUUCGGGCGUCUUGCCAUCGGAUGAGCCCUGGUGGGAUUAGCUAGUAGGUGGGGUAACGGCUAACCUAGGCGACGAUCCCUAGCGGGUCUGAGAGGAUGACCGGCCACACUGGAACUGAGACACGGUCCAGACUCCUACGGGAGGCAGCAGUGGGGAAUAUUGCACAAUGGGCGCAAGCCUGAUGCAGCCAUGCCGCGUGUGUGAAGAAGGCCUUCGGGUUGUAAAGUACUUUCAGCGGGGAGGAAGAUAGUUGAGUUUAUCCCUGUACUCAUUGACGUUACCCGCAGAGGAAGCACCGGCUAACUCCGUG
This 490-nucleotide ribosomal RNA is filed under the name uncultured bacterium. RNAcentral describes it as "partial 16S ribosomal RNA". It matches the Rfam family "Bacterial small subunit ribosomal RNA", at positions 30 to 507 of the family's 1533-position model. The record is from RNAcentral.